GACGAACGCUGGCGGCGUGCUUAACACAUGCAAGUCGAACGGAAAGGCCCUGCUUUUGUGGGGUGCUCGAGUGGCGAACGGGUGAGUAACACGUGAGUAACCUGCCCUUGACUUUGGGAUAACUUCAGGAAACUGGGGCUAAUACCGGAUAGGAGCUCCUGCUGCAUGGUGGGGGUUGGAAAGAUUCGGCGGUGGGGGAUGGACUGGCGGCUUAUCAGCUGGUUGGUGGGGUAGUGGUGUACGAAGGCUUUGACGGGUAGCCGGCCUGAGAGGGUGGCCGGCCACAUUGGGACUGAGGUACGGCCCAGACUCCUACGGGAGGCAGUAGUCGGGAAUAUUGCACAAUGGGCGGAAGUCUGAUGCAGAAACGCCGCGUGCGGGAUGACCGCCUUCGGGGUGUAAACCGCUUUCGACUGUGACGAAGCGGGAGUGACGGUAAUGGGUAAAGAAGCACCGGCUAACUACGUG
This 468-nucleotide ribosomal RNA is filed under the name uncultured bacterium. RNAcentral describes it as "partial 16S ribosomal RNA". It matches the Rfam family "Bacterial small subunit ribosomal RNA", at positions 28 to 507 of the family's 1533-position model. The record is from RNAcentral.